Molecule: ribosomal RNA, 450 nt
Filed under: uncultured bacterium
Lineage: Bacteria
Description: bacterial SSU rRNA
Rfam family: Bacterial small subunit ribosomal RNA
Source: RNAcentral
GUGGGGAAUAUUGGACAAUGGGCGAAAGCCUGAUCCAGCCAUGCCGCGUGUGUGAAGAAGGUCUUCGGAUUGUAAAGCACUUUAAGUUGGGAGGAAGGGCAGUAAGUUAAUACCUUGCUGUUUUGACGUUACCGACAGAAUAAGCACCGGCUAACUUCGUGCCAGCAGCCGCGGUAAUACGAAGGGUGCAAGCGUUAAUCGGAAUUACUGGGCGUAAAGCGCGCGUAGGUGGUUUUGUAAGUUGGAGGUGAAAUCCACGGGCUCAACCUGGGAACUGCCUCCAAAACUGCAUGACUAGAGUACGGUAGAGGGUAGUGGAAUUUCCUGUGUAGCGGUGAAAUGCGUAGAUAUAGGAAGGAACACCAGUGGCGAAGGCGACUACCUGGACUGAUACUGACACUGAGGUGCGAAAGCGUGGGGAGCAAACAGGAUUAGAAACCCUGGUAGUCC